Molecule: ribosomal RNA, 198 nt
Filed under: uncultured bacterium
Lineage: Bacteria
Description: partial 16S ribosomal RNA
Rfam family: Bacterial small subunit ribosomal RNA
Source: RNAcentral
ACGCUCGACACCUACGGGAGGCGGCAGUGGGGAAUAUUGCACAAUGGGGGAAACCCUGAUGCAGCGACGCCGCGUGAGCGAAGAAGUAUUUCGGUAUGUAAAGCCCUAUCAGCAGGGAAGAAACUGACGGUACCUGACUAAGAAGCACCGGCUAAAUACGUGCCCGCAGCCGCGGUAAUCUGAGCGGGCUGGCAAGGC